RNAcentral lists this ribosomal RNA (523 nucleotides) under uncultured bacterium. Its description in RNAcentral is "bacterial SSU rRNA". It matches the Rfam family "Bacterial small subunit ribosomal RNA", at positions 8 to 524 of the family's 1533-position model. The record is from RNAcentral.
AGAGUUUGAUCCUGGCUCAGGAUGAACGCUAGCGGCAGGCCUAACACAUGCAAGUCGGGGGGUAGCAGGAUAAAGCUUGCUUUAUUGCUGACGACCGGCGCACGGGUGCGUAACGCGUAUGCAACCUACCUUAUACUGGGGUAUAGCCCGGAGAAAUUCGGAUUAAUCCCCCAUAGUAUUAUCGGAUCGCAUGGUUUGAUAAUUAAAGGUUACGGUAUAAGAUGGGCAUGCGUCCCAUUAGCUAGAUGGUGAGGUAACGGCUCACCAUGGCGACGAUGGGUAGGGGGCCUGAGAGGGUGGUCCCCCACACUGGUACUGAGACACGGACCAGACUCCUACGGGAGGCAGCAGUGAGGAAUAUUGGUCAAUGGGCGCAAGCCUGAACCAGCCAUGCCGCGUGCAGGAAGACGGUCCUAUGGAUUGUAAACUGCUUUUAUUCGGGAAUAAACCUCCUUACGUGUAGGGAGCUGAAGGUACCGAAUGAAUAAGCACCGGCUAACUCCGUGCCAGCAGCCGCGGUAAU